UUCCCUAUUCACUUAAAUUCUAGUCGUUUUUUAUCCAAUUUAUAAUAAUUUUACCCAAUAUUAUUACAAUUCUAGCCAAAUUAUGUCGAAUUAGACUCAAUUUAACUUUUCACCCAAUUUUGAUCAAAAUCUUAAUAUUUAGAUCUCAACCGUUGAUUAAAUUGAUCCAACGAUCGAGAUCACAUUUCUCUUUGCUUUCCAUUUUUAAGCUAACAGGAAACCCUAGCCUUAUUCCAUCAAACAACAGCCGUAUCUCUCUACUUUCUUUCUUUAUCUCCCCCUCUGUCUAAAGGAACCGCCGCCUCUCCCUCAACCUCCACGCCUCUGCCGUCGACAAGGCCACCACCGACAGCCCAUGCUGGAUGAGACCAGCCGACCGUCGCCACCAUCUCCAUCAUCGCCGUCGUUAGCCACCUCCAGUGCCGCCAGCCGCCGCUACAAGCAGCCAUGCAGCCGGCGAUCCGACCUCUACACUUCCUCCUCCACGCCGUUCCCCAUCGCCACCAUAGCCAUCAACCAUUCACCACUCCACCAGUUGGCAGGACCCCCACCGCCAUGAAUUUACAGCCAGCCGCCGCCGCAAGCAGCCAUGCAGUCGGCAAUCCAACCAACAAAGCCACCGCCACCACCUUAUUUCUCUUCUCUCUCCUCUAGUCUAUUGACCCCUUUUCUACUGCAACGCCGUUGGAGUUGAUAACCGGUGAGGUUUUCAAUGAAAUACCAUUCCCGUUAUUGUUUAGUUUGGCAUGAGUUUCAAAUCGGUGGCUUUGCCUCCGAUUACCCCAAAAUAGGUUCUUAAUUUUAAAAUUCGUGAUGUUUGGUGUGUGAUUUUGACUUGAUUGUUUUAAUUUCAUAUUUAUCUACACCUGUUCAUUAACAUAUACGAAAAGCCCCAAAUUUGCAUGACUUUUGGUUAAACUCUAAUUUUGAUUUGAAUGUUGAUCUUGUAAAUAUUAAAAUUGUGAUUCUCUUGUCUUGUCGUUGUUAUGAAUUUACCCCUAAGGUAGUACCAAGUUGAGUUGUAAUUGUUAUUUUUGUACACUAUUUUAUUUUAACGUUCAACUCAUGUGCAUUUGAAAUUAACAGCUUUGUGAUAGAUUAUUUUUGACAAGCUUGAAUUUUGAUCUUAAUGUGUUAUGUGAUUAUAUUUGGUUACUUUUGAUCUGACUUCGUGCAUGAUUUUAAUUGUUCUCGUGAGUGUGAUUUGUGUGUUUGAUAUCUCUUGGAAUUUUUUACAUGUUAGUGGAGUAUGAACUGAUUUUGGGCGUAAUUGCAAUCACCCAAGGGAUAUUUUACAGUCCUUCUGUUUUGACAAAUUAUAUGAUUGAUUCCGUUAAUUUUGCUAUUGAUGAACACUAAGUGCUGUCCAUAUUCUAUGUUAUUUACUUGGUUUGCUGCAGAUAUUUACUUGUUUAUUUAUGGUAAUUCCGGGUGAUUUGCCUUGACUAUUUUUCUACCUAUUUUUACUGAUUGCCUUUCUUUCCUCUAACUUAGACAACUUUUUAUCAUUUUUAUUUUUGGUAGGACUAACGUAAUUUGUGAUUCUAUUAAUUCAAAUUAGUGCAUUAAGGAAAAUAUUCUGACUGAUAGUUAAAAUAUUCUCCUUCCUUUAUUUUCAUAACCCCUCAGCCUAUACAAACGAUCCCUCUUUUCACUUAACAGACAACUCUUCCUGAUUACUACUCUCUACAACAAAAACUACUAGCUACUUUAAUACCAAGGAUAAAAUAUUUCUCAAGCUCUUUGGUGUUUCUUUUCGGGUUUAAGGGAGCAUCCUGCAUAUCUCACUGUUACGGGUGCUUUGCUUCAACAUCCUUACUAUUUUCUUAUUGCUGUUUACUGGAAGCAUCCUGCAUAUCUCACUGUGGGGAGUGCUGUGCUUCAACAACCUUCUUAUUAUUUUAUUUUUUAUUUGUUGCUUAUCGGUAAAAGUUCUCAAAUCGAUGUAAUUUUAAUUCUUUGUGUGUGCUGACUGUGAAAGCCAUUAGAAAACAUAUCAAUAGGGAUAUUUGUUGCUAUGUUCCUGUUUGUUUCGCUGUUACAUUAUGUCUCACAGGUAUAAAUAGACGAUUUAGAAUUGAAGAGUCGCCCGGGGUUGAUAGGGAUUAUAUUGUGCCCUAAAGUUUAGUUGAUUCUUCCUUUUUAUGUAAUAUUGUAUAAAUGCUAUUGAUGUAAUAAUAAUUAUGGGGACUGCUUGAGGUGUGGGGCUUAUGUUCUCUAUGAAUCGUAGGCAAACUUUAACAUUAGGAUUAACAGCCAAUUAAUUUGGACACGUAGAAAGGUUGUUUUAAGAGUAUUAUUAAAACAGAUUUAAGCAUGUUGUUGGUCUAGUCGAUAGCUUGAGAAUUAAUGACUAAAGUUUGUGUUAAUUCUGUAGCAUGUGUUUUUCAGUAUAUUAAUAUUACUUUUCAGCAAUCUAAAAUUAUUUUUCAGCAUGUAAAUGUUAAAUUCCAGCAUAUUGAUAUAUUUUCCAGCACAUAAAUGUUGAUUUUAGUAUAUUAGUGUCGUUUUUCAGCGUUAGUGUAUUUUAAGCGUGUUCAGCUUAAAUUUCAACAUGUUAAUACAUUUUUUCAGCAUGUUAACAUUAUAUUUAAGCAUGAAUGUUAAUGUAAUUUUCAGCAUGAAUAAUAAUUUCUAGCACUUUAAUUGAAUUUUCAACAUGUUAGGUUUAAUUUCCAGAAUAUUAAGAAGUAGCUUUCAGUAUGUUAAAACAAGUGUUCAACAUGUUUACAAACUUUCCGUGAUAUUAUCAGUUCUAAAAAAUGUAAUCUCCAUUAUGUUAACUAGUUUCCGCGUUGUGGUAUAGUUUACUAGCACUUUUAAUUAAUUUUCAACACUUCCAUUUUUCACAAUGUGUUUUGCAUAACAAAAUUUAUGGGUAUCACCUUAUUUAACCAGUAACCAUAAGGUAUACUAUGUUUUCCAUUUUUUCAAAGAACCACUUUGUGUAUGUGUUCUAUCAUCAAUGCAGGUAGACUAAUGAAUUCAAAAUAGCUAAGGCAUUCCAUGACAUACAAGUCAGCUGCUGAAUCAGUGUUUCUUUUUUGUGAUUUAGGCAGAAUCACCUUGUUAACGAAGUCAAAGACCAAUUGAAUUUUUCUCUUGAGUAAUUUUGUAUUCACUGCAGCUACAUAUUGCCCUUUGACCUUUAAUGUAUAUACUAAAAACUCUAUUGAGGGUUGCUUCUUUGAGACAGUCCUCACACCAUAAAUAGUAACUUCUAGAAUUCUUUCCAAUGUUUCUUCAUUCAACUUUAUUUUCUUUCCUUAGACCUGUGUAAUCAGAAUCAACCCAUCUUCUGAGAAAUCCAAUGUGGAAUAGAAUUUCCUAACUAUCUCAUCAAAAAUAGUGGGAAUCGGUCUUUCUAUAAGAUACAUCCAGCCUUAAUGUUUUACCAGCUCAACUAACUCCAACAUUCUAGGUUCUAUUAACAUACUUAUGUCAAAAAUCCUUCCAAUUAAUACCUUUUGAUUCUUUAAGAACCUAUUUCUCACUUCUUUAGACACAACAUUACUAAUCUCCCCAUUUUUUCUUCUAGUAUAGGUGAUCACAGAUUUUCUUUUAGCUACGUUCCUCUUCCUGAGACUAGGUCCCUGAGAAGUCUCAUUCUUUUUAGUAAAACUUAUAGACUUUUCUCUAGAAUAUUUUGGUAUUUUACUAACAUUUUGAUUUUUGGGGGAAAUAUACUCUUUCCUGGGUUAUUUGAUAGGAAGAUGAGGUUUUUAGCCAUCUAGGCAUUAUCCAUCAAUGUAUUAUCAAAAAAUUUUUGAUGGCUCAAGGAUUAUUCUUCAUCAACAAUUUGGGUGAAGGAGUUUGUCUUUGGAAGAGUGAGAGAUGAAGAGUAUUUUUCAAAAGGAUUUGAGAAAGGACUUUUGGUAAUGCUAUGCUUAGGUUCCUUUAAAAGACAAAAAAAUGAGGAAUCUUUAGCCAUUUGUAGAUCUUUUCAAUAGGAGAACUAUUUGUGACUAGGUAUUUUGUUUUGACUAGAGAAGGAUAAGGUCAGAUAUAUAGGAAAGAGUAAACAUAGAAAAGGUUUUUUGAAAGAGUUGGAUGUGAUCACUUUUGAAUUUGAGGAUGACUCAUCCUUUUUUUUAGGAUAUGAAAAUGUUUUUUCAAACUAAAAGGGAGAGAGGAUGCAUCUUUAUCAGUUAGAACAGAUAAAAAUGCACAUUUAUGAUACUAACCUGGGAGAUGGGACUAGGUCCUUCUUUUUCCUUGAGUGAAUCCUUGGCUUUGUGGAUGUCACAUUUUCCUCUUCCAAAGUUGUUCCCAUAGGUGCAUACCUACAAAGGUAUGAUACUGAGUUAGACUAACAUGUAAUUAUUUUACCAAGGAUACCUGCCUUCUGAACAUAGAUAAAAUUUUGGAAGGGAAGUUGAUCCAUUUAGUAAGUCGGGUUAAUUUGAUCAAUCCUGGCCACAACUUGUUGGUUUUAAUGCACCACUUCUACCCAGAAGUUUUCCUAAAAUUAGGUUUGAGGAUUAGGUCCCAAACUUAGCAUCCUUUGAAUUUUUAAGGUUCCUUCUGCAUUGCUUUGGACUAGCCAGCAUCUUUCAGACUUUUUCACCCUUUUGAGCUUAUUUUUUGGAUAAUAAUGUUGAGAAGCCCAUAAGGUAUUGGACUUAGCCUCUUGUAUGCACUCCUGUCUCAAAAUAUGAAGUUAGAAUAUCUAGUAGGAUGAGAAGAUAUGUGCUUUCAAUUUGUCCUUCUAAAAUGAAUUCCAUAGGGACCAGGUCCCUUUGAAAUUUUAACUAGAUACUUUUUGAGGUUCUUCUUGGAGAACUAUCACUGUCAUCACUCUCCACUGCAUCAAAUUUUUCAUUGAUCUUCAUUUUCAUCAACAUCUUCCUUAUUUAGGAGUAUCCCAUACAUAUAUUUUUUCUUGAUCUAUUUUACCUUUUUCAUAUAAGAUAUAUCCACUAAGGAGUGUCUUGAGAGAGAGAGAAUACAAUCAGACCGACCAGUCAUAACAUUGAACAAUUACAUUCAAGAAGAUAGUUUCGACUGCAAGCCCUUUCUCUUUUAUACAAGCAAAAUCAUUUGUUAGGUUUGGGAAACAACUUGAGUUUGAGUUCCCAAUAGGAGGUCAGAGGUAUGUGAUUAAAUUUUUUUUUGCCCAUCUAGGGANNNNNNNNNNAAAGAUAGCUUUUUCUAAUUUUUCAAAGGUCUAAAUUCUUUUUGAUAGUUAUUUCCUUGAUGAAUAUAUCUAUCAUUGAUCAUUCUUUCUCUAUUAUAACUUUACAGUGUUCUUUCAUGUGUCCAUCUCUUCCACAAUGAGUUUAGAAAUAUUUCUAGACUUUUUUUUUAACAUCUCAAACGACUUUGCCUUGUAAUCUAGAUGAUUGAGUUUUGUAAUGAUACCCAAGGACCUUACCAUUAUUGACUCCUUGACCAGCUAAGCUUGAAAGGAAUUUUGAAGAUGAAGUCUAUUGAAGAGAUUUUUUUGAGUUCUUCCUUCAGACAGACCAGGUCCCUCUCCAACUCCUCAUUCUUCUGGAGUGCAUUCAUGAGAUUCUGUUGAGAAUCCCCUAAUAUUUCUUCAAGAACAACCUAAAACUUUGAUGUUUUUUUCUUUUCUUUAUUCUCAGAAGCAUCUACUAUCUCUAGUUGACUUACCAAACUAAGGUUUUCAAAUUUCAUAUUAGCAACAUGUUGCUCAGUUUUAGAUAUCUGGAGGGUUAAAGUUAUCAUCUCAAGCUCUUGACUUUCUACCUUUUCUUCUAGAGAAUUUUUUCAUUAGUCAUUUCACACAUGGAAUUAAUCAACAUAUUAGCAAGCUUUUUUAUUUUUCUAGCAGAGUAAUUCUCUAAGUUUUCUUUAAUGUCAGAGAGUGUUACCUCAUUUUUUCUUCAUCUUCAGUGUUUGCCAUAAAAGAAAAUAAUGAAUCAAAGGUCACUUUAUCAUCCUCUACUACUAGCAUGGAAACAUCUUCAUACUUCCCAUCUUCUUUAGAUUCACUAGAGGAAUCUCCCCACAUUGCUUGAGCCUGCCUUACUACAUAAUCAGUUGCAACCUUUUUAUUUAUUUUACAGGGACCUAAUCCCUGUUCUUUUCUUUGUCACUUCCAAUCCUGAGAUAUUCCUGAUAGUUUAAUUUGUACAUUGGACAAUCCUUAAUGAAAUACUAAGGACUUCCAUAUUUGUGACAAACCAUCACAAUGCCUCACUUUUUGCUGCUACUUUCACUUCUUUAAAAUUGGACACUUUUCUUCAUAGCUCUCACAAUUCUUUUUGCCAAAUAAGCAAUAUCAUGGUCUUCUUCAUUAGAGUCUGAUUUUAGUACCCUCACUGCUAGGGAUUUUUCCCUUUUUUCUUUCUUCAUCUCAUGUUCUUGCUACUUCUUGAGUUCAUGAGUAUUUAAAUUUCCAAUAAGCUCAUCCAUAGUAAGAGUUUUAGUUUCCUUGCCUCAGUAAUAGCAUUUACUUUGCUUUCCCAGGAUUUUGGCAGAACUAUAAGAAUCUUCCUCACUCGCUUAUAAAAUGGAAUUACUUUUCCUUGGUAUAGCUCAUUUGUUAUGGAAGUGAAUCUUGUAUGUGUUUUUGUAUUGUCUCUUCUUCUUUCAUGGUGAAGGUUUCAUACUAGGUAGUUAGCAUAUCAACUUUGGAAUCCUUCACAUCUAUAGUUCCCUUAUGAUAUAUUUUCAAGCAAACCUAGAUAUCUUUAGUAUUUUCACAUGCAAAAAUCCUGUUGUAUUCAUCAAGACCUAUACCACAAACUAGCAAUUUCUUGGCAUUGUUAUUCUUCUCAAUUUUCUUUCUGUCUUCAUCAUCAUAGUCUCUCCUCAUUUUAACAACUAUUCUAGUUAUCUAUCCUUCUUUGACUUCUUUAAUAGGAACAUGAGGACCAUUAAGAAUUAUGUCCAUCAGCUCACUAUCUUUAGCCAUAAUAAAGUCAAACAUCCUGGUUUUCCACUGCCCAUUAAAUCUAGGUGGUCUAGUGGUAGAUUGCCUUGCUUCCAGGUUAGGUGAAGAAAUCAUGCUAACCAAAUCACUUUAGGUGUGAACCUUUUAGAGUGUUAUGGCUCUGUACCAAUUGUUGAAACCUUUAUACCACACUGUAAGGGAUCAGGUCUCUCAAAAUCAAUCAUAUGCAAAGGCAUAGUAAACCAACUAGGAACACAAAACAGUGCAACAAAUAUAAAUAAUACAAGAUUUAAUGUGUAAUGCCCCUUGCUCGGUGGACUAAAAACCAUGGAUUUCCCUUACAAGCACCCAAAUCUUCAAUACAAUCAAUCUCCUUAUUAUAGUCUUUAAUGAACCUAACUCUAGGUUUAUCAUGCUUGUAAUAACUCUACUACAUGCCUACCUUAGCAACUCUUCAAAGAACGCACUUUGAUAUUGAUUAAAUCUAACCAAUAUAAACCUUAGGUAACUCUACCUAAGUUCUCUCAAAGCAAAAGUAAAAGAACAUUACUCUAAUAGCUUGAGUAAUUCAAUUACAAUUCAGGACUCACUCAAGAACACUCACUCUUUUGUACAUACAAGAAAUAAAAACUUGAGCUAUACUUGUGCAACUGGAUUAAGUUUUUUCCUUUCUCAAUUUUCAUUCUUUAAUUCUGAAUUUUGCAAAAACACUUGAUGAAGAAGCAUCAUUUUCUUUUUAUAGAUGAGUGAUGAAUAGGGUUGAAAUAUAAUUGGACCAUGUGUCCUUAAUAAUGCAAGCAUCACCUACAUAAUUUGUUACAAUAGAGGACAAAAUUGUGCAGAUGCAUGCCAGCUAUACAGUAACCUUGGACAUUCAGGGACCUGGUCCUUUGUAGUCAUUUGCUCAUCAUCAAAAUAAGAUACAUCAAUUGGUUUAUAUACUAGGUUUUCUGUUGAUAUGUAAUGAUGUUGCUUGAUCACAUUGUGUCGUGGUGAGUGGUUUUUGUACACACAUCUAAUUUUCGUAUUUUUUAAUAUUGUAAGGGGUUGAACUUAUAUUUUGAUUUAUGCGUACUAAAUUUGGUUUUUGAAAAGUAUGAUUGCCCUAGGACUCUUAGUUUUUUCUUGGUUAGGUGUAAGUUAGGUUGUGUUUUAUUUUAGUUCUAUUUGUUUGCCUGAGGACUUACAAAUGUUGUAUCUUGAGGGUGUUGAUGUAUCGAGGACUUACUUCACUUUCGAUGCCUAAAAAAAGGAAAUCUCUAGUUUAAAGGCAUGUUUUUGACAAUGGUCAUGAUUUUCAAUAGUGGAAAGAACCUGAGUAAGUGAAAUAUGAAGGUUGGCAGAUGAGAGGUCCCUUGAUCGUACCAUGAUGAAAUAAAAUUGUCCAAAAAAUUAUGGGUGGAUAUAGUGCAAAGUGAAAAUAUGAGGUAUAACCCAUGACAAGAUUUCACGAUCGUAGAAGGACAGUAUGAGCUCGUACUAAGCAUCAUUUCCACACAAAUAUGAAAGAUAAAAUAAGUUAUCCACCAACCUACGAGAACUAAGCGAUCGUGGUUUUAUGUUUGUUUAUAAAUACUCCUAAAUGGUAUUUUGUAUUAGUUUACAUUCCCGUAGUACCUUUGAGGCAUAUUAUUAUACUUCAAAGUAUAAACAUUGAUUUUUAGGGUUUUAAGUCAAAGUGAGAUUUUUGGUCUUUAUCUUCUUCUUUGUAAAUUCAUAAUUAUGAUUUUUAUUAAGAAUUACUAUUGUGUACUUGAAAUUAUGAGUAGCUAAACACCAAAACUAGGGUUGUGGAACCCAUGAUAGAUUGACGAAGUAGUGUUUGAAAUAGGACAUGAUUCUUAAAGGGUGUAUCACAUGUAUUAUGAUUUUCUUUUAUUUGAUUGCUUUUUUAUGGUGGCUAACUUUAGAAAUUUCCCUAUCCUUACUAGCAUUAAAAAAGGUGUAACAGAUUGGGAAAGGGAGUCUUGGAGCUAUCAACCUCUAUUUGACUAACUUGAGCUGGUAAAUAGGAUAGUUAUUAUGGGAUAAAUGAUAGGAUUUAGUAAUGCAAAAAUCAUGAGAUGUUAAUUGUGAUUGAAGAGUGUAAUCUAAUAGGGGUGUAAAGAUAUUUAGAUAAACAUAACCUAUUGAUUCUGCAUGCCAAGUACAAAAGAGAUUAUUAGUACAAAGAGCCAACAUAGUUAUGAAAUUAUGAAAGCAUGUCCUAGUGCCACUCUCACACUGACUACAAAUCCAACAAAAUCCGCAACUUAUUACUUUUGAAGUUCUUAAAUACCCCCUAUACUGAAAAUUGCUUACUAAUUAUUUUGACUAACAUAUUGAUAGAUUUUUCAAACUAUUCCUUAUGGGAUCAACCCCAACCUAGUUCGACUCUAUGUUUGAUGGUGAUUGCUUUAUACUUUUAUCAAAGGUGUAAUUUAGGUGACAUCAAUGGGUCAUCUUUUCCCACAAAUUCCAAAUCCUCAUGAUACAUAAGCUCAAACUUUAUUGCAACCUAUACAACUCUCUAAAAUAAAGCACCAGACUAAGAUGAAAACUGUCCGUUGAAUUUGAAAGGUGAAACUCCUCAUAAAUUUAUGAAACUCUUGACCUCAUCUGGAAAAAUUACUAAGGCAUGGAAAGAAAAUGAGUUGAAUUGUAUCUCAUACUCAAUCACUAUGAUCCCUUAGUGGGUCUAUAAAUACCCUUCAUGUUAUUUUCCAUAUUUCUGCUUAUGGAAGCAUGUCCUAGUGCCACUCUCACACUGACUACAAAUCCAACAGAAUCAACAACUUAUUACUUUUGAAGUUCUUAAAUAUGCUCUGUACUAAAAAUUGCUUACUAAUUAUUUUGACUAACAUAUUGAUAUAUUUUUCAAGUUAUUCCUUAUGGGAUCGACUUCAACCUAGUUAGACUCUAUGUUUGAUCGGUGAUUGCUUUAUACUUUUAUCAAAGGUGUAAUUUGGGUGACAUUAAUGGGUCAUAUUUUCCCACAAAUUCCAAAUUCUCAUGAUACAUGAGCUCAAACUUUGUGGUAGCCUCUACAACUCUCUAAAAUAAAGCACCAAACUAAGAUGAAGGCUGUCUGUUGAAUUUGGAAGGUGAAACUCCUCACAAAUUUAUGAAACUCUUGACCUCAUCAGGAAAAAUUACCAAGGCAUGGUAAGAAAAUGAGUAGAAUUAUAUCUCAUACUUAAUCACUAUGAUCCCUUAGUGGGUCUAUAAAUACCCUUUAUGUUAUUUUCCAUAUUUCAGCUUAUUUUUUUCCACUAGUGCUUUUAUACCACUGCCCUAAGUCAUUUAUGACUUACUGGAACUGACAGUUUAGUUAUCGAGCAAUUUGUUUGGAUUCUAGAUCCAAUUCUCUAUUGUGAAGUUUCCACUUGUUCCAAAUGACCACCAGGCAAAAAAUUUAAUUAAAUAAUCUCGAAUGUAAAUUUUAACAAUGCCAAAAGCUCUAAAAUAUUGAUUUUAGUCUAGGUGGUCCUCUGGUUUGGGUCCUGAUACACCCGAUCUUAUUUUGGCCUAUUGGUAAAAAAUUUAAGAAAAUGAAAUAUGUGUGUGGGACCCAUAUUUGGUCGAAACGACCUUGAAUGGAAAAUUCAAUUGACACAUUGAGUCCAAAAUAUCAUUUUUUAUAUGGUUACAUAGUCCAUUUGCAUGGUAUUUUUGAUGAAUCCUGAGGGCUUAGCAGAGACUUGGAAAUUCCAAGUCCAUUGCUGUCAGCUGGUGCAUCGUGAUAGCGGCUCUUUGGAACUUGAUUGCACCUUACUCAGUAGUGGAGAUACUAUGAUUGCAAAGAGGUGUUAUGAUUACUACUCGUGUCAUAGAUGAGAGGUACCGUGAUCAUGGAGCUUCAGGUUGCAAUAGCGACUGCCGAGAACCUAGACUGGGUAUAAAAGGACCCCAUUUCCAUGAUUUUCUCCAUUCUUCAUCACUUCCUUAAGAGAUAAAAAAUUAAAUAGUGUGAGAACAUAAAAUUAAAGCUUGUUGGUGAUUGGAAAGCUAGAUUAACAUUUAUUUUUUAAAUCAUCUUCUGAUUUGAAGUAAGAAUUCACUAUUUUCUGGGUGAAAUCUCUUGAUUUAUUGCUCAAAAUUACAAAACCUUUAGGGCUUGAAUUUAGCCCCAAUUUAUCUUGGUUUUCAACCAUUUUUAGGGUAAAGAUUCUUUGAGCAUGUAGGAAUGUUAGGUUGGUUUUGGAAAUGCAAUUUUGGUAAGUGGAAUCCAUGUAGGGGUUUGAUGUGAUUUUUGAACCCAAAGCACAAUAAUACAUUAUGGGUAUCGUUAUUAUCAUAUUGAUGAUUAUGUUUUUGAUAUCUUAGAAUCUUAAGGAGGCUUUUUGGAAAGGAAAAAUGAUGCUUUAGCAAUUUAUUGAGCUUUCUUCGGCAUCAAGGUAGGCUGAAUUUAUCCCUUGUUAGAUUGAGAUAUUUCAGAGUAUUCUUAUAAUAUUGUGUUAGAUUUGGGAUGGUUUUUAGGUUUUUGAUUGAUAAAAGGAAGUCUUGGACUAGCUGGACUGUUCAUGCCAUUUUGAAACCAUAGUGUUGAAACAAUUGACUUGUUUUCUUAUGCCUUAGGUGAAUUGGACUUCAUUACUCAUGUUUAGCAUGAGAAUGUAUUAGACCACUCAAGUUAGGUAAGAUUGCUUUAGUCACUCAUGCUUUGGGUAAGUUUGGCCUUAGUUUAUUACACUAAUAAAGGUUGCCUUAGUUUUCAUUGGACUUAGUUAAUUUGUUUGGGAAGUAUUUCUACCUUAGGACUAAUUGUAGCUUAUUUAACAUCUAAAAGUGGAUUUAAAUACCUUAAGCCUAGUUCGGGUAGAUUUUUCCUAAAAUGGAACUCAAGGAUUAGAAGUAGAUUGUUAACCUACUUUAGGAUAUGACACAUGAUUAGUUUUUGUGAACCUUUUAUGCUUAUUAGACUUGGAAAUAUGUAUUAAGGUAGUAUUGAGAAAUUUUAUUACUUAAUAAUUGUGUUGGUUAAUGUGAGGGUUUAGGCCUAUUGAUUGUGCUAUUAGUUUGUUAUUGAUGAUACUAUCCAUGAUGUUGAUUUUAUAUAUAUCCAGUUUAAUUUCAGAAGAUGAUUAUGUUGUUGAUUGUAUAUACCCGAUUUGAGUCCGGAGGAUGAUCAUGACACUAUUGAUUUAUUUACCAAUUCAAGUUCAGCUAUUGAUUAUAACUACUGGUUCGAGUUUGGAAAUUGAUUAUUUAUUAGUUCAAGUCUAGUUAUUAAUUUUAUUUAUUGGUUCAAGUAUGAAUAUACAUCUUAUGCUAUGAUGAUAUAUUUCUUAUGAUCAACAAUAUCAAGGUGUGAGAUUGAAAGUUUUAAUUUGGCUAAGUUGGAAAAUGAGGAAAUGUUUAUAAUGUGGCAUGCCAUAAAUGUACUCUAGAGGUGAAAUGACAAGUUGGGAAAUGAUGGUUAGUUGAUAAAUGAUGACUAGUGUAUGUAUGUUGUGGUAUAUCGCAUACACAAGUGUAUCUAAUCAGACAAGUAAUAUAGUAACUCAAAAGAAUCGGAUGUCGAACCCACAUGGACUGCUUGUUUAGAAAUUUACUUAACUUUAGUUAUGAAAAUAUUAUAUUCAAAUGUUAUGGAGUAUCAAAAUAUUUGUGAUAUUUUAGUAACUAAAUAACUAAUAAAUGAAUAAUAAAGUGUGAUAAUAGCAAUGUAAGCAAAGAUGUAAAAAAAUAUGAGGGGAAAUUCCAGGAUUAAGGCACUCUCUACAAUUAUGUAAACCGCUAUCCUUAUUGUUGAUCAUGUUUGUUAUCAGAUGUUUGAUUCACAUGAUUUAUAUUAUGAUCAUGGUCUUUUGAGCCUGUAAUAUUCUACCAAAUAGGACAUCACAACUACAUUGUUGAGCGGGAAUGUAAUAAUCCAUUUUAGAUACUUUAAGUUAUCUUCUUGCAAUUGAACCAAACAAGGUAAUCUAAGGAUAUUUCUAUCCAAGAGGCUACUUCAAAUCAUUCGUUAUUUAGAAGAAUAUGAACUUGAUCCUUAAACCAUUUGAAUGUUCCUCCUUUACGGAUUACAAAAGAAUUAAACAUGUAUUUCAAUGGAGGCCAAUCAUUAAAAUAGUAAGAGUAAGAGAAUAAUAACAAUCCAUACGAUAAACCAACAUUCAAAAAACUCUAAGAAUAUAAAACUAUAAUCAUGGCCUUAACCCUAAUGUGCUAGCUUUGUUUAAGAAUAUUUAAGGCUUUUAACUCGGAAUAAUUGUAAGUUCGUAAGUAAAUAUUGUCGAUUUUGAUUAUAUUUCAUGUGAUAUUGCAGGGAAGUCGAGAUGCAUGAAAAUCUUUGAUUACUAGGUUAAGAAGGAUGAAUUUUUGGUGAAGAAAAUUAAGAAAUUGAGUUUUGAAGAUUUCAAGCGACGACUUGUCUGAUAAGUCAUCAAACAUCUGAUAACUGUCAAGGAA
This 13255-nucleotide long non-coding RNA is filed under the name Capsicum annuum. Its description in RNAcentral is "long non-coding RNA (CANN_LNC009989)". The record is from RNAcentral. Lineage: Eukaryota; Viridiplantae; Streptophyta; Magnoliopsida; Solanales; Solanaceae.